GAACGCUGGCGGCGUGCCUAAUACAUGCAAGUCGAGCGGACAGAAGGGAGCUUGCUCCCGGAUGUUAGCGGCGGACGGGUGAGUAACACGUGGGUAACCUGCCUGUAAGACUGGGAUAACUCCGGGAAACCGGAGCUAAUACCGGAUAGUUCCUUGAACCGCAUGGUUCAAGGAUGAAAGACGGUUUCGGCUGUCACUUACAGAUGGACCCGCGGCGCAUUAGCUAGUUGGUGGGGUAAUGGCUCACCAAGGCGACGAUGCGUAGCCGACCUGAGAGGGUGAUCGGCCACACUGGGACUGAGACACGGCCCAGACUCCUACGGGAGGCAGCAGUAGGGAAUCUUCCGCAAUGGACGAAAGUCUGACGGAGCAACGCCGCGUGAGUGAUGAAGGUUUUCGGAUCGUAAAGCUCUGUUGUUAGGGAAGAACAAGUGCGAGAGUAACUGCUCGCACCUUGACGGUACCUAACCAGAAAGCCACGGCUAACUACGUGCCAGCAGCCGCGGUAAUACGUAGGUGGCAAGCGUUGUCCGGAAUUAUUGGGCGUAAAGGGCUCGCAGGCGGUUUCUUAAGUCUGAUGUGAAAGCCCCCGGCUCAACCGGGGAGGGUCAUUGGAAACUGGGAAACUUGAGUGCAGAAGAGGAGAGUGGAAUUCCACGUGUAGCGGUGAAAUGCGUAGAGAUGUGGAGGAACACCAGUGGCGAAGGCGACUCUCUGGUCUGUAACUGACGCUGAGAGCGAAAGCGUGGGGAGCGAACAGGAUUAGAUACCCUGGUAGUCCACGCCGUAAACGAUGAGUGCUAAGUGUUAGGGGGUUUCCGCCCCUUAGUGCUGCAGCUAACGCAUUAAGCACUCCGCCUGGGGAGUACGGUCGCAAGACUGAAACUCAAAGGAAUUGACGGGGGCCCGCACAAGCGGUGGAGCAUGUGGUUUAAUUCGAAGCAACGCGAAGAACCUUACCAGGUCUUGACAUCCUCUGACAACCCUAGAGAUAGGGCUUUCCCUUCGGGGACAGAGUGACAGGUGGUGCAUGGUUGUCGUCAGCUCGUGUCGUGAGAUGUUGGGUUAAGUCCCGCAACGAGCGCAACCCUUGAUCUUAGUUGCCAGCAUUCAGUUGGGCACUCUAAGGUGACUGCCGGUGACAAACCGGAGGAAGGUGGGGGAUGACGUCAAAUCAUCAUGCCCCUUAUGACCUGGGCUACACACGUGCUACAAUGGACAGAACAAAGGGCUGCAAGACCGCAAGGUUUAGCCAAUCCCAUAAAUCUGUUCUCAGUUCGGAUCGCAGUCUGCAACUCGACUGCGUGAAGCUGGAAUCGCUAGUAAUCGCGGAUCAGCAUGCCGCGGGUGAAUACGUUCCCGGGCCUUGUACACACCGCCCGUCACACCACGAGAGUUUGCAACACCCGAAGUCGGUGAGGUAACC
RNAcentral lists this ribosomal RNA (1426 nucleotides) under Bacillus pumilus. RNAcentral describes it as "bacterial SSU rRNA". It matches the Rfam family "Bacterial small subunit ribosomal RNA". Lineage: Bacteria; Bacillati; Bacillota; Bacilli; Caryophanales; Bacillaceae. The record is from RNAcentral.